CCCUACUCCUACGGGAGGCAGCAGUAGGGAAUCUUCCGCAAUGGACGAAAGUCUGACGGAGCAACGCCGCGUGAGUGAUGAAGGCUUUCGGGUCGUAAAACUCUGUUGUUAGGGAAGAACAAGUGCUAGUUGAAUAAGCUGGCACCUUGACGGUACCUAACCAGAAAGCCACGGCUAACUACGUGCCAGCAGCCGCGGUAAUACGUAGGUGGCAAGCGUUAUCCGGAAUUAUUGGGCGUAAAGCGCGCGCAGGUGGUUUCUUAAGUCUGAUGUGAAAGCCCACGGCUCAACCGUGGAGGGUCAUUGGAAACUGGGAGACUUGAGUGCAGAAGAGGAAAGUGGAAUUCCAUGUGUAGCGGUGAAAUGCGUAGAGAUAUGGAGGAACACCAGUGGCGAAGGCGACUUUCUGGUCUGUAACUGACACUGAGGCGCGAAAGCGUGGGGAGCAAACAGGAUUAGA
Molecule: ribosomal RNA, 460 nt
Filed under: Bacillus cereus
Lineage: Bacteria; Bacillati; Bacillota; Bacilli; Caryophanales; Bacillaceae
Description: bacterial SSU rRNA
Rfam family: Bacterial small subunit ribosomal RNA
Source: RNAcentral